UGCCCAGCCAUGGGCUCAAGGAAGGAAUGAUGUAUUUCCAGCUGACUACAAGGCCCAGGAGCACCACAUUCACAAUUCACCCCCCUCAUACCACUCUGUGAAACGGAUGGAAGGAUGGAGGCUCAGAGGAUUGAGAAUACCUGGAAAGAAGGCUCUAGAACAGUAAGAUCCCAUUGGGAAAAAUGAAAGAAUAAGGAACUAAUUGUUCGUGGAUCAUAAAGAAGAAUUCUCUCUACUGCUCAAUAUCACCUUGGGGAAAUAAAAUAUACAAAUUCCA
Long non-coding RNA from Mastomys coucha (southern multimammate mouse), 277 nucleotides. RefSeq lists it as uncharacterized. The record is from RefSeq and is a predicted model, not a curated record. The transcript has 2 exons. NCBI's taxonomy places the organism in Eukaryota, Metazoa, Chordata, Mammalia, Rodentia, Muridae.